AUGGUCGUUGCCGGAGCCGCCCCGCCCCUGGAUCCGCUCGCCGUUGGUCCCUGCCGGAGCCGCCCCGCCCCUCCCCGGCGCUCCAACCCCAACUCCCCGACUCUCCAUCCUCCCCGCUUCUCAUCACCACCGCCGCACUACGCGAAGCCCAUCUCUCUCCAGCCUCCCUGCCCGCAUGCAGCCCUCGCCCUCGGCACCGCACGGCCAGGCCCUCUCUCCUCGGUUAUGGCCACCAUGGAAAACCUGACCCGUAGGGCAUACCCUUCUCCUCUGAUGCGUAACACCCAUCCCUGCCCCGGCGGUUGGGAUCAUGUCCGCCAUCAUGAGCAGCUGCUCCGCAUCCGAGUGCACCGACUCAGAGGUAGAGGUUGGGCUGUAGUUCUUGGACGCCAAGGAAGAACGCAAGUUGUUGCCGCCGCCGAAGAUGAAAACUGGUGGUAA
RNAcentral lists this ribosomal RNA (441 nucleotides) under Triticum aestivum (bread wheat). RNAcentral describes it as "partial small subunit ribosomal RNA". Lineage: Eukaryota; Viridiplantae; Streptophyta; Magnoliopsida; Poales; Poaceae. The record is from RNAcentral.